GACCUUGUUGCUCAGACGGUAGAGCAUCGUUGUAGAAAUACGAAGGUCGCGGGUUCGAAUCCCAGCCGCGGUCA
RNAcentral lists this transfer RNA (74 nucleotides) under Paramuricea clavata. It matches the Rfam family "tRNA". From Rfam's summary of the family: Transfer RNA (tRNA) molecules are approximately 80 nucleotides in length. Their secondary structure includes four short double-helical elements and three loops (D, anti-codon, and T loops). Further hydrogen bonds mediate the characteristic L-shaped molecular structure. tRNAs have two regions of fundamental functional importance: the anti-codon, which is responsible for specific mRNA codon recognition, and the 3' end, to which the tRNAs corresponding amino acid is attached (by aminoacyl-tRNA synthetases). tRNAs cope with the degeneracy of the genetic code in two manners: having more than one tRNA (with a specific anti-codon) for a particular amino acid; and 'wobble' base-pairing, i.e. permitting non-standard base-pairing at the 3rd anti-codon position. The record is from Rfam by way of RNAcentral. Lineage: Eukaryota; Metazoa; Cnidaria; Anthozoa; Malacalcyonacea; Plexauridae.